ACUUUUAAAGGAAAGUAGUAAUCCAUUGGCUUUAGGCGCCAUUCCCCUUGGUGCAAGUCCAAGUAAAAGUA
This 71-nucleotide transfer RNA is filed under the name Bipes canaliculatus. Its description in RNAcentral is "tRNA-Leu". It matches the Rfam family "tRNA". Rfam says of the family: Transfer RNA (tRNA) molecules are approximately 80 nucleotides in length. The record is from RNAcentral. Lineage: Eukaryota; Metazoa; Chordata; Lepidosauria; Squamata; Bipedidae.